Molecule: ribosomal RNA, 1064 nt
Filed under: uncultured bacterium
Lineage: Bacteria
Description: bacterial SSU rRNA
Rfam family: Bacterial small subunit ribosomal RNA
Source: RNAcentral
ACUCCUACGGGAGGCAGCAGUGGGGAAUAUUGCACAAUGGGCGAAAGCCUGAUGCAGCAACGCCGCGUGAGGGACGACGGCCUUCGGGUUGUAAACCUCUUUUAGUAGGGAAGAAGCGAAGUGUUUUACACGGAGUGGCGGUACCUGCAGAAAAAGCACCGGCUAACUACGUGCCAGCAGCCGCGGUAAUACGUAGGGUGCAAGCGUUAUCCGGAAUUAUUGGGCGUAAAGAGCUCGUAGGCGGUUUGUCACGUCUGCUGUGAAAACUGGAGGCUCAACCUCCAGCCUGCAGUGGGUACGGGCAGACUAGAGUGCGGUAGGGGAGAUUGGAAUUCCUGGUGUAGCGGUGGAAUGCGCAGAUAUCAGGAGGAACACCAAUGGCGAAGGCAGAUCUCUGGGCCGUAACUGACGCUGAGGAGCGAAAGCAUGGGGAGCGAACAGGAUUAGAUACCCUGGUAGUCCAUGCCGUAAAACGUUGGGAACUAGAUGUAGGGACCAUUCCACGGUUUCUGUGUCGCAGCUAACGCAUUAAGUUCCCCGCCUGGGGAGUACGGCCGCAAGGCUAAAACUCAAAGGAAUUGACGGGGGCCCGCACAAGCGGCGGAGCAUGCGGAUUAAUUCGAUGCAACGCGAAGAACCUUACCAAGGCUUGACAUAUACCGGAAAAGUUCAGAAAUGUUCUCCCCGCAAGGUCGGUAUACAGGUGGUGCAUGGUUGUCGUCAGCUCGUGUCGUGAGAUGUUGGGUUAAGUCCCGCAACGAGCGCAACCCUCGUUCUAUGUUGCCAGCACGUAAUGGUGGGAACUCAUAGGAGACUGCCGGGGUCAACUCGGAGGAAGGUGGGGAUGACGUCAAAUCAUCAUGCCCCUUAUGUCUUGGGCUUCACGCAUGCUACAAUGGCCGAUACAAAGGGCUGCAAUACCGCAAGGUGGAGCGAAUCCCAAAAAGUCGGUCUCAGUUCGGAUUGAGGUCUGCAACUCGACCUCAUGAAGUCGGAGUCGCUAGUAAUCGCAGAUCAGCAACGCUGCGGUGAAUACGUUCCCGGGCCUUGUACACACCGCCCGU